GAUGAACGCUAGCGGCAGGCUUAACACAUGCAAGUCGCACGGGCAGGGGAAACCUUGUCAGUGGCGGACGGGUGAGUAACGCGUAGGUAUCUAUCCUUAGGUGGGGGACAACGGCUGGAAACGGCUGCUAAUACCGCAUGAUGUCUGAGGACUAAAGGCGCAGGUCGCCUGAGGAGGAGCCUGCGUACGAUUAGCUAGUUGGUGGGGUAAAGCCUACCAAGGCUAUGACGUUAGCUGGUCUGAGAGGAUGAUCAGCCACAUUGGGACUGAGACACGGCCCAAACUCCUACGGGAGGCAGCAGUGGGGAAUAUUGGACAAUGGGCGCAAGCCUGAUCCAGCAAUGCCGCGUGUGUGAAGAAGGUCUUCGGAUUGUAAA
Molecule: ribosomal RNA, 377 nt
Filed under: uncultured bacterium
Lineage: Bacteria
Description: bacterial SSU rRNA
Rfam family: Bacterial small subunit ribosomal RNA
Source: RNAcentral